Cynocephalus volans (Philippine flying lemur) is the source of this 1103-nucleotide long non-coding RNA. RefSeq lists it as uncharacterized. The record is from RefSeq and is a predicted model, not a curated record. The transcript is spliced from 4 exons. NCBI's taxonomy places the organism in Eukaryota, Metazoa, Chordata, Mammalia, Dermoptera, Cynocephalidae.
GCGCUCGCCUGGGCCUGGUCCUGUGCCCAAGCGCUUCCGCCUGUGCCUCGGCGUGGUCCGCCCGGACGAAGAGGUGAUGAGCUGUCCUCUCUCCAAAGUCCCAAGGGCUGGGGGACUGAGGUGGGAUGAGGCCUGCACCGAGAAAGGGACAGAAGGAGCAAGCUAUUGUGUAGAGCACUUUGCACAGCAGACUCUAGGAGCAAGUGUCACCAUUUCUCUCAUGACUGCCUCCAUUCACCUUCUCUUCCAGAGUCCUCUGUGUUUUCAAGAGCAAAGAAAAUGUGUACAUCUCUGGGAUUGGUGUCGUUUGAGGAUUUGGCUGUGGACUUCACCUGGGAGGAGUGGCAGUACCUGGAUGAUGCUCAGAGGAGCCUGUGCAGGGAUGUGAUGCUGGAGACCUGCAGCAGCCUGGUGGUGUUGGAGCCUGAGCCUUUGAGAACUGACCCGAACUGCUGAACAGUCGGAUCUGGCCAAGGAGCUGUGGACACCCCGUCGUCUGCCUUGGUGUUGGAGUCCUGGUGGAAGGAAGGAAGAGCUCCGACAGACUCCUUGGCAGGGAGCUCAAAUGAUUUCUUCUUUCCGAAGAGAAUUUGGAAGAUGGGUUCCAGUGGUGAAGCUGUUUUCCACAUAUUUGACACGACACAGGAAGUUGCUGUAGUGACUGCUGCUCGCUUAGAUGAGGCUCUGUCAAUCCGGGUAGCUUCUGGCUUGAUGGAUGACUGUAUUUCUAACACUGAUGUUUCUGGAAGAGAGGGUGGAGGCGGAGGGUGUGGUGCCGACAGCGGUGCCUGCAGGGUACCGGGGACACUUGGAGGGCUUCUCCUCAGACCGCGGGGCUGCGGUUAUCUUUGGGUAGAUGGAAAUGUCCACUUCUUCCUGUUGAAGUCGGGGCCGUUUCUUCUCAAUCCUGUCUAACUUUCCAGCACUUGAAGGACGUUUUAUUUUAUGACAGAUUACUAACCCAAGGAUUAUAUUUGGACGUGGUGACUCAAGACCUGAAAACAAAAUAUUUGUGUGAAUUUUAGAAUCUAAAUCCAGUUUUCAUCCUUCAGAGGUAAAUUUUAUUAAGGGCUUUCACGUGGGAAAUCCUGUGGGAAAAUAAA